Long non-coding RNA from Esox lucius (northern pike), 1295 nucleotides. RefSeq lists it as uncharacterized. The transcript is spliced from 4 exons. Lineage: Eukaryota; Metazoa; Chordata; Actinopteri; Esociformes; Esocidae. The record is from RefSeq and is a predicted model, not a curated record.
GUUCUGUAAAAUAUGUUAUCAUUCAUUGUAUUUUAUGGGAACUCCUGUUUUGGAGAUUACCUAACCUAAUUGGAAACGGCAAUACUGCGAGGGUACAGUAGAGGGCGAUGAGUUGAGAUGCGAUUUGCCAACCCAAUCCCGAAGAAGAGCUGGUAGUAGCCAAACCGAGCAAAAACAAACAAGGAGAACCACCAAACAAUGAAAACCAAAUAUUAAAGCUAUCAGCUAUGGAACGCCGUUUGGGUUUAAGAAUUAAUCGGUCAAAUAACAUUGUUUAUUUAAGGCUUCAAAUACGUCCAUCGACAUAUACUAUUUAACCUGUAGCUGACUCCAAUUAGAUCCUGUCUGUUUAGCUGGGAAAGCUGGACAGAAAAAAACCUAGCUGAUGGAUGCUUACGAUGUACUUCUCUAACAAAAAGUUCGCAUGAACAUUGAGAAUACACGGAUUUCAGAAUUUCAUCAUAGUAUUCAAGGCAAAGAUGCAGUCUCCUAUUCCAAGAGGUUCUAGGAAAGAGAGAGUCGAAAGGAAACAAACUCCCCACUUGUGCCACAAUCUGGACCUUCUGGAAAAUUACUACACCCUGAACAUUCCCACACCCUGAACAUUCCCACACCCUGCUGGCAAGACAGGUCACCCGGUGGGCAGUCACGAUGAAGGACUAUCAGGACCAUGGUGGUGUGAAGUCCAAACCUGAAGACCUACACAAGGCUCCAACUGUUUGGGGGUGAACCUUAACACACUGGUAAAACACUUGCAUGUCUUCCAUGGAGUGGGCGACCAUUCGUCAGGAACUUCCGAGAGGGACGAGUCAGGCCCUUUACAUUCUGCAUUCAGAAACACAAUACCGCGACCAAUCAACCAGCAGCACGUAUCAGCUCCCGCUAGACAGAACAUGGCAGGCUACACAGUGUGGCAGUACAGCCUAAACUACCUCUGUUUAAGUUUAACUUCUGUACCACUACCUCCGGUGGACAAACUUUGACUGAGUGGCUGGAACUGAUGAGGUUCACUGACUAAUUGACUAUAUAUUAUUUUUAAAAUUUUUUGCCAUGUUUAAUGACUUAUGGAUAUUUUAUGUUUUGUCCAUGUUCAGUUACUAGAUCGUAAAGUAGUAGGUUUCAUUGUGAAGUAGGACAGACAUUAAUAAACCAGAGAUUUGAUGCUGAUCCUAAAUGGUCAUUUAUUCUUAACAUUUCCACACAGCACCGGUAAUGCCUACCCCACUGAGGGCCAUCUGCUGUCUUUUUACAGUGUUUCUUAACCUACGUGGUUUUCCUCUUUGGGGGUUUAGGCU